GAUAGAAAAAGCAAGUAAAGAACAGAUUUUAAAGGGACCAGAAUGCCAAGAGGAGAGAACUUGAAGAUUUUUAGUGUUAUGCCUACUCUGCCAAUUCUUGGAACAUUUGCGGAACUGAGAAUUUACUUCUUCGUUUAUUACUUCCUAACUACAUUUUAAAGACUCAUUUGUUCUAGAUUCAGAUCAUUCAACAAAACAUGGCAUGAUUUCCACAGUCUCUGACAUUCUGAUUGCAUUGCUUGAGAAAAUUCUCAGUCUGGGAAUCUCCUUAAAAUGCAGCACAGAUGAUGGCUGAAUAGGAACAGCUCCGGUCUGCAGCUCCCAGCGAGAUCAACGCAGAAGGCGGGUGAUUUCUGCAUUUCCAACUGAGGGUGUAACACUGUGACCAACGAAGAGAGUGUUUUCUAUCAGUGACUCGCAGACUUCCCUUUCACUGGAAUCCAGCUUAUUAGCUGCAUGGUUAACUUUGGAGCCAGGAAAACAUCCUGCACAUGACACUGCCAUCAAGCAGAGGAGACAUGUUUCUCGGCUUCCCCUCUCUGGGACUUAAUAGCCUCUGAAGGCUAGCCUUUACUGACUCAUGAAGCUGUGUCUGCCUGGGGUCAGUGGUGGAGACAUUGCGUUAACCCCAGCAAGCGAGCCAUCACCAGAGCUUUGCACAGGGAGACACCACAUAGAAAGGCAGAUGAGGCAACACACACACCAUCCCCAGACAGCCAUGGGUCCCCAGAGACAGGAAAAAUAUGUGUUUUCUUAAAGAAUUAGAAAAGAAAACCUUGCUUUUUCCUGUGUGGCUCAUUGGUAGGAGAUCUCAAAUUCUAACCCUUGUUUUCUCUUUUACCUCUCUGUCUGCUAAAAAGCACUCCUUAGAUCCAGUAUCUAGCAUGGUGAGCCUCCUGGAUGCAGUGCUGCAGUGGCCACUGCUGGGUCAAAAACAAACACUGGGAAAGGAGGAAAAUGAUGUUUUUCUCUCUUUCAAUAAAGCAUUUGAAAUCUCU
Molecule: long non-coding RNA, 998 nt
Filed under: Homo sapiens (human)
Lineage: Eukaryota; Metazoa; Chordata; Mammalia; Primates; Hominidae
Description: long intergenic non-protein coding RNA 2450
Source: RNAcentral